AUCAGUUAGCUUGGAGAGGCGUUUGGGCCAGAAGAACCGAGUUCAGAACCAGCCUGCCAGAGCUCAGAAAGAACUAGAAAGGGUAAGUUUGUUCAGCAGUAAAUCUUGGACGCUGAAACAUUCCAGGCCUAGGUUAGCAGAAGGAGGCUGGAAGCUGAAGCCUUCAAGACCGGGCUUGUGGAAGAUCAGAUUGUACAGAGGUUAGAAGCAUCCAGGGUUAGGUCUGGGGAGAGUGAGAACAGAAAUAGAAAUGCUCUGGGCCCAGCACAAGCCAUGUUCAUAAAGCUUGGGUCUGGCUCUCAUCUCAUCCCUUCAUCUGAGACAAUAAAAGCGACAUUUACACUUACAGCAGGGUCUCUCCCUGAACCGUGGACUUGCAAUUUCUCAGCUAGGCGAGAAGCCAGAAAACUGCAGUGAUCUGUCACUGGCCCCUCAGAAGGGUUUAGAAGCAAUUUGGGGACAUCUAGCUUGUUCAAGCUAUGAGAUCUGAACUCUCUAGUCCUCUUAAGUAUUUAUUGAUGAGCCAUCUCUCUGGGCUUCUAUUUAAAAAAAAAAACAA
RNAcentral lists this long non-coding RNA (559 nucleotides) under Rattus norvegicus (Norway rat). RNAcentral's name for it is "long non-coding RNA NONRATT024580". The record is from RNAcentral. Lineage: Eukaryota; Metazoa; Chordata; Mammalia; Rodentia; Muridae.